UCUUCCUUUAUGCACGACUACGCGAGUGGCAAAUUCAUACUAACUGAUGCAGGUUGGCUCUCGUUUGUCUCGUUUCGCUGUUAUUUGAAGAAUAUCAAAUACAAUCAACAAAAAAGAAGAUUGCAGAGCGUAACGUUAUAGGCAGUUUAUCUCCAGUAAAUGUUGAUAAUCUUUGGACAAUCAACAACUUCAGUAAUCAUCUUAAUGCAGAAACAAAUGAGUUCCUUAGAUCUCCUUAUUUUCAUGUGGAUAAGUAUAAAUGGAAUAUUCUAUUAUAUAUGAAUGAUGUUGGUAUUGGACCACAAGAUUUCAUAACUGUUCUCAUUAAUGUUAAAAUGGAGAGACCUUUCGAAUUAAGAAGUCAAAUUAAAUUUUCCCUGAUUAAUUCACGAGAUGAAGAAAUUAACAUUAAGAAUUCAAGGCGUACUCUUUUAUAUGGUUUAAGUGAAACAGUUGUACUGAGAAAAGCCUCUGACAAGAGAACUUGGAGUCUUGGAAUGAUAUUCGAGAAUAAGAACUUAUACAUGCUCACAAAGCCAUUUUAGCUGCUAACAGUCCAGUGUUUUAUGCCAUGUUUCAACAUGACACAACAGAAAAUCGAGAAAAUGAACGAUAAGGAAUCUUGAAAAUAUAGCACAAGAUCUUUUAGUUACAGCAGAUAAGUUUAACAUGAAUGAAUUGAAACUUUUGUGUGAAAAUUAUCUUUCUCACAAUAAGAAUGUUGAAAACUGUGUUGGAUUAUAUAUUUAUGCUAGACUGCACAACUUUAAUGAUUUAGAAAAGGAAGUGAGAAAAUACAUCCAUAAAAAUAUAAAAGAUGCUAUUUAUUCAACAGAGUUUAUUUCCAUGAAACAAGAAUAUCCAAACCUACUGUUAGAUUUACUAUGUUACUCAGUUGAAAUGGAUGAUUA
Molecule: long non-coding RNA, 911 nt
Organism: Nasonia vitripennis (jewel wasp)
Lineage: Eukaryota; Metazoa; Arthropoda; Insecta; Hymenoptera; Pteromalidae
Exons: 4
Source: RefSeq, a predicted model, not a curated record